RNAcentral lists this microRNA (24 nucleotides) under Prunus persica (peach). RNAcentral describes it as "microRNA miRNA_18". The record is from RNAcentral. Lineage: Eukaryota; Viridiplantae; Streptophyta; Magnoliopsida; Rosales; Rosaceae.
AUUAUGACCUCAAACAACCCGUGU